UGAGUAACACGUGGGCAAUCUGCCCUGCACUUCGGGAUAAGCCUGGGAAACUGGGUCUAAUACCGGAUAGGACCUUUAGACGCAUGUCUUUUGGUGGAAAGCUUUUGCGGUGUGGGAUGGGCCCGCGGCCUAUCAGCUUGUUGGUGGGGUGAUGGCCUACCAAGGCGACGACGGGUAGCCGGCCUGAGAGGGUGUCCGGCCACACUGGGACUGAGAUACGGCCCAGACUCCUACGGGAGGCAGCAGUGGGGAAUAUUGCACAAUGGGCGCAAGCCUGAUGCAGCGACGCCGCGUGGGGGAUGACGGCCUUCGGGUUGUAAACCUCUUUCACCAUCGACGAAGGUUCGGGUUUUCUCGGAUUGACGGUAGGUGGAGAAGAAGCACCGGCCAACUACGUGCCAGCAGCCGCGGUAAUACGUAGGGUGCGAGCGUUGUCCGGAAUUACUGGGCGUAAAGAGCUCGUAGGUGGUUUGUCGCGUUGUUCGUGAAAUCUCACGGCUUAACUGUGAGCGUGCGGGCGAUACGGGCAGACUAGAGUACUGCAGGGGAGACUGGAAUUCCUGGUGUAGCGGUGGAAUGCGCAGAUAUCAGGAGGAACACCGGUGGCGAAGGCGGGUCUCUGGGCAGUAACUGACGCUGAGGAGCGAAAGCGUGGGGAGCGAACAGGAUUAGAUACCCUGGUAGUCCACGCCGUAAACGGUGGGUACUAGGUGUGGGUUUCCUUCCUUGGGAUCCGUGCCGUAGCUAACGCAUUAAGUACCCCCGCCUGGGGAGUACGGCCGCAAGGCUAAAACUCAAAGGAAUUGACGGGGGGCCCGCACAA
RNAcentral lists this ribosomal RNA (823 nucleotides) under Mycobacterium sp. RNAcentral's name for it is "bacterial SSU rRNA". It matches the Rfam family "Bacterial small subunit ribosomal RNA", at positions 107 to 928 of the family's 1533-position model. The record is from RNAcentral. Lineage: Bacteria; Bacillati; Actinomycetota; Actinomycetes; Mycobacteriales; Mycobacteriaceae.